Molecule: long non-coding RNA, 743 nt
Organism: Frankliniella occidentalis (western flower thrips)
Lineage: Eukaryota; Metazoa; Arthropoda; Insecta; Thysanoptera; Thripidae
Exons: 3
Source: RefSeq, a predicted model, not a curated record
AUUGGUAUAGAUGUAGUAGCAAUUUCUAGAAUUACAGGCCAUUUGAUAGAAAACUGUGUUAAAGGUUACUUUUAUAACGGUUCUGGUGUCGUGGCGUUAUUUGUGCGUAGCUACGAUGUGUAAUAUUUCUCCAGGUGAGAAAUUCUAACCUAACGUUUGGCAUGGUACUCCAUUGAAAGUUUUUAUUGCUUUGCUUACGACCGCUACCAUCAUUGACAAUUGCUCGUUGUAUGUCUUCAGAGUAGAGAGUCUUUGACAGAGAAACUGUACUUUAAAUCAAACUGAAACUGUCCUGGUAGUUCAGAUGAAACCUCAAUGAAAUUGUCACUCUCUAGCUUAUUAAUUGCGGCUUCUGCUUGACUGUGGCCAUCUCAUGUGAUAGUGUUUAAGAAUUGUGCUUUUUUUUGUGACUAGUAUUCAUGAUGAUCUGAUGAAUGGUUUCAGGUGAUCGCGUCUUCUCUUGGUCACCCAUGGACUCUCAGCUUGCCACCGAGGGUUGACACCAGGAAGUUGAUGCUAACAGUGGAAGUGUUUGCAGUAUGGAAUAUACCAGGUCCAGUGUGGAUAUUGAAUGAGGUCUGAUUUGUAUUAAGAUUCACAGUUUUAAAGGAGAGACUUGAGUAAGCUAAAGUUUCUUAAUGCAGUGCUCUAGACACGUCCCAGGUGUGCAAGUGAGAUUCGCCUGAAUGGUUACUGCUGAUUCUGUUCCAGUGCACUAUUUUGAAUGAAGAUAUGAAACAAUA